UUUGCAGUCAGUUAGCUUAACUUAGUAUAUUCUAUCUAUACAGUGUUUGUAAGUAUAUUGUGUUUUGUAAUGCAAUCCAAUAUAGCAAAACCAGCAAAUAGCUGAGCCCACAGACGGUCACACCCAGUGUCAGUUGAUUUACUCUGGAGCACAAAAACCCAUUCAACAGUCAAUCACUUAGUACUUACGCCACCUACCAAAAUUAUUUAACACAUUACAUUCUGUUCACAUUCAAUACAAUGAGACAGGUGCCCGGAGAGUCUUCUGUUUAACAGUUAAACACAGAGAAGGAUGCUGUUUUGUCGUAGUAGUGACAGUAGUGAACCCCCAUCCCCCCAUCAUAUUACACUGGUGAACAGACUCACUCUUCUUGGCAAGAAAAACCACAUGCUUUACAUAUGUACUUUCUCACUGUCAUCCUCCUACUUUCUCUUAAAAAAGGGGAACUUACAGUUAAACAGCGUUUUAUCAUGUUCGUAGACAAAACGCUGAAAGUCAUGAGCAUCCGCAAUGUCCUCUCACACACACACACACACACACUCAGAGUGACAGCAACAAGCAACAGGAGUUACAUCCUGAUGCCACUGAACACAGGCAAACAAGGGAGACGCUGUGUAAACCAAUUCCAAGCAUGACCUUUUCCCUGUAAAUGCUUCCACCUCACUAGGAUGGAUGCCAGAGAGGAGACGCUGAGCAUCCUGAACAGGAUAUGGGUCAAGCUGCAGGGUCUUCCCAACGCCAACCCGAUAGAGCUGGGAGCUUUCUUUGUCAUCUUAACCUUCAUCUUUGUGGUCCUGCUCAUGACAGUGCUGACCUGCGUGAACUGCUGCUGCUGCUGCUGCUGCCGCUGUCGCAAAACCAAGACAAAGGAUUUGGUCAUUUGAGUAAAUGUGGUGGGAUGGGGACGGUGCGAAACGUCUUCUGAAACAGGCUUUCUCCGCAACUCUCUGAUGCAUAAAGAAACUCUGGCUGAGAGUCAUGGCCAUAUAUUCAAUAGACAUUCAAGACAUUUCUGUGAGCGACAAAGCCAAAUACAGGGUGUGUUCAGUGGCAUUAGAGGAGCCCAACCCUUGUGCAACAAAACAGCUGGCAAAUACAGAGAAGGAUGUUCUGACUGGCUGCCAGAUACACUUGCUAAAGCUGGCCGGUUUUCAGGAGAAUCUACAUUCCAUGGAGCAUCCCUGCGCUUUAAAGAGCAACAACAACGCUUCUGACCCGAGGCAAAUACGUGGAAUAUGAGCUAUAGAAAUGUGUGGAAUCAUUUUUAAGAAACAGCCGCAAGUUGCACAGGUAGAUAUGAAAGGGAAAAGCCAAAUUUGUUUGUAAAUGUUUUUCUAAAUAUAACUAUGUGUCAUUUCUAAAGGAAUUAUUAUUGGCAGUCAGACUUAAGAGUUAGGUAAGAUGUAAGCGUUUCUGACACGCUUAACAACGAAGGUUAGAAGAGGGAUCAAGUCUGCCCUCUGCUGUACACAAACGGAAAUUAACAAUGGUUUUACUUUAAAUAGCACAGUCAUGGAAGUUGUGUUAAAUGUAUAAAGUUGCAUGUUAUAUUACGUGCAAAGGGUGAAUACACUAUGUGAUGAUGUGAUGCUUUGACUACACUUUUGUACGCAAUAAACUAAAUGUGACGUGCA
Long non-coding RNA from Cottoperca gobio, 1634 nucleotides. RefSeq lists it as uncharacterized. The record is from RefSeq and is a predicted model, not a curated record. NCBI's taxonomy places the organism in Eukaryota, Metazoa, Chordata, Actinopteri, Perciformes, Bovichtidae. The transcript has 2 exons.